Non-coding RNA from Dermacentor andersoni, 4049 nucleotides. Lineage: Eukaryota; Metazoa; Arthropoda; Arachnida; Ixodida; Ixodidae. The record is from RefSeq and is a predicted model, not a curated record.
ACCGUUGCAGCUGACUGCUCUUCAUAGCUGUUGCUCGAAUUGCUGCUGGGUUGCCCCUGGCUUCUUGAAAGGCAUAUCCCCUCAGUCUGUGCAGUGACGUUGGCAUUCUUUGAGCCGAGAACAGCUGCAUGCACUAUGGUCUGCCUGUAGGCAUGCCGGGAUUGCGCCGCUGAUGGGUUGUUAUUCCAGCCACCUCUCUGCCUUCUGCAACUAAAGUACAUUUCCAAGGGGUCGUGGUUCAGGUUUCUCGUGCAGAUGUACCUGCAAACAACAGGCAAGUUAGUGCCUUGCCGCUUUAUGCCCCACACUUAAAACUAGUCAGGAAAAUAUUUGUUUGUAAUUAUGCAGUUUAUGAGCCAACAAAUGUAUGUGUUGUAAUUGGAAAACGUGUUCUUUAUUUUUUUUUCCAAAAACACAUAUUCUGAACUACCGCUUGCUUUUGUGCUGCCAACCCAUAUCUUCACCACAACCAAGGUAUUCAUUCUUUCAUUGCUUCUGGCAUUGGGCUUACGGUUCUGAUAUAUGUUGAAUUGGCACCUGAGCAAAGCAGCACUUCUUGAUCUUGUACAAACGCUUUCCAUCUUCUGCGCUUCCCUGUACUUUCUUUAAGUGCAACUGGCCCAAUAAUGUGCAUGUGAAGCAGUUUUUUUUAUGCCAGGCUUUUGUCACAGCAAAGCAAAGCAUUCACAUUUGAGGAUAGCAAGCAAUAAAUAUAAGCAUUUCAUAAUAGCAGGCCCCAUGUGUACAAUAUGUAUACAUCAGGCAAAUAUGAUUGGGUUGUUUUGUAAGUGUGGUCCUUAUGUUUUCAUGUGAUAUUACUUUCUUCUCAAAUGGAAGUAUAAUAAUGUGGUGUCUCCAAUUGAGAGUAAUCAUUACUAACACAUGUUUUAUAAUGAUUGGCUUUUGCACCUAGCAGGUCAAUUAGCUUUUUCUGUUUAUGAUUACACCAUUACAAAUGAUGUCCGAAAUCACAUUAAACAAGAAGCGAGAAGUCAACCCGAAAUACAAUAAAAUGCUUGGUAUAUCGAAUAAAAUCUGGUGCCAUCUUCUGUUUGUUAUGAGUGAUUAUGAGAGCAUUUGUGAAGUCUUUCCUGUAUAAAUAAAUAUGCUUUGCUUUUGUGGUUCAAGGGGUGCAUAUCAGCAAACAGCACCAAUAAAGUGGUUUUCAGUUGCAAAGGAGAUGUCACAUUGUAUGGAUAAGUGUAACAUGGCUGUAAAGCGACCGAAAAUCAGUUGCUGCAUGAGUGCACAAAAUAUAGUGUCCCAACUACCAUCGCCAAAAUUUAAGAAGUUGCAAAUGCCACGUAGCUGGACAGGACCAAUGUAAUGUUGUUUGCCGUUACUUGGAGAUACUCGGAGUAUUUGCAUUCUGCCUAAUUACAUUAGUCUGUAUUAAUGAAAUAACCAACUUCUGAAAUAUUACAACUAGAUGAAAAGUGCCAACGAGAAAAAUGUAGAGCGACAUGAGAAACUCUCAAUACACCUUUCUAAUGCUCAAUAAAUGCUACUUAUAAGUGUUUUUUCGAGUGUGAAAGAAGCCUGCGAAUACAUGCAAAAUGCCUUGAGCACCCAUUCGUGUGUAAAGACAUGUGGUCACAAAUUCAACUGCAAAUCCAAUUUGACAGCACAAUAUCAUUUUUCAGAAUGCCAAUGUGUUGUUCUUUAUAGAUAGAAGAAGUAAUCAUGCAGGAGUAAUUUGCUGAAAAAAUUGUGUUCCUCCCUUAUUUUGUUGAAAAAGUAUGGCAAGAAAUGUGACCAUACCUGGCAGCUGUGAAACCUGAAGAUAGCGAGCCUGUCUGGUGUGAAACAUAAGUGUGCCUGGUUGUGCAUCUUCCUUUUUGUUAUUUCACUUUAAUAGUAUGUGUAAACAUGUAGUAAUGUUCUAAGCUCAUUUUCAGCAUGUUCUUAUCUAUAACAGACAUGGACUCUCAUAAGAGUGAUACACUGCACUUGAAAAACAUUGUUUGCGUCCUGGAGGUUGUUUGUGGACGUCAAAAAAUUGGAGGAUUUUCUUGUUCAGCUGUGUUUCAAUGCUGUUGUCUCUUACAUACUGGUAGGCAUGAUAUGGGGAAGUUCAGAGUACAGUGGGGAGGAAAAGAAAUGUAUUAACACACUUGUCACAGUGCAUGGUACACCUGGCACCACAAUACUGAGCCUUUAAACCAGGCUUGACCAAAAAGUAUGAUAUGCCACGUAACCAAAAGCAGACAACAAGAGCCAGGGCAAGACAAGUUACUAAUAUGGGUGAUUUUAUCUAUCCUGAAUCUUUUUUGUGUGCUAUGCAGUUCUUUGGAAGUUAAAAAUUAUAUUCGUAAAACCUAUCUUUCUUUUUGGCAAUUGUCCCAUAUGCGAAAAGGUGUACCUUUUGUUACUAAUAAACAUUUUGUAGUGAAGCUUUACAUACCUAUUUCUCACAUUACUGGGUGUGCAAUGAACCACAAUAAGUAAAAAUGUGCAACAACGUUUCAGUGAACUGCCUUUUAUAGCAAUGCAUGCCAAUUCGGCAAAGCAUAUGUCUUGGGUUAUUCAAUUAUUGUGCUCCGAGGCUUCACUGGAUAUCAUUAAGUUUGGUUCAAUGCACAGCUUAAUGGUGUGCUCCUAUAUUGCUGCCACAAAUUGUGUAGCUGUGGUAACGCAAAUUAAACUUGUAAGGGUUGGCGUGAAACGAACAUUUAUUACUUUUGUGAAUGAAAUAAACACAUAUUGUUGCCCAUAUUAUGAGGGUGUCGUGUGCCUAAGCAGAACAUAAUCCAGAACAGAGUACAAAUCUGUACUCGUCAUCUACGACAUGUUUUUUGCUGGGUCUUGGCCUCAUACAUUAAAAGUCCAUCAAACAUUGAGAGUUGUGCUUGGUAAACUAACACGUGUUAAGCAGCCUCCGCUUUCUUGAAAACAGCACAAGGAACACCCUUAACAUGUCAUAAGACAGUUUCAAAUGUUCAGUCUGUCUUGAAAUUACUAUUCAUAAUUUCACGUCAUGGCAAACUUUUUGUCGUUUUAUCACCUUAUGUUUCCACCUGUACACUACAUCUACCUAUGCACUUACUUGCACAGGUCAGCAUCAAAGAGCCUUUCUGCCAGCUGGGAGACACUCUUCAGUGUGAAUGCCAGUGCAAUCACAGACAUUCGCCUGCCAUCCUGGGCGACGAGCCUUUCAUUGGCCAGUCGCAGCUCCAUCAGUUGUAAGCCAGUGGCCUCCAUGGUCUCUCUCUGUACCCUUACCGGUCCACCAUGGCUAUGAAGUUGGCAGUGCCCAUGCAGUUGCCAAAGCCUGGCAGCUUCAGCAAAGAAGCCAACUCCAGCGCCUUGCUGACAGAGCUGCUGAAUGUCUGCGCUGCCAACUUCACUUUCAUGACCUGUUGGAGGCAAGGAAGGAAGAUCUGCAGAAGUUAUACAUGCAUUAUUUUAGGGUUGUCUCACCUGUUGGUAGUAAUUGAUGUGCGCCUUUGACAGCUUGUUAGCUGCACGCAGGCCUUCCUUCUCCUGCAGCUCUUGCAGCGCCUUGACGUGCUUCCACAGCACUCUCCGUGAUAUAAAAGGAUGUAGCAAUGCAAUUGCUUCUUUGCUAACCCUGAGACAUUAGUCCGACAACUAAGUAUGUCUGCUUACAUCUACACAUUCACAGCAUAUCUGUGCAAAAAGCUUCACAAAUGCUCACUCGGUGUUCGGGUGAACAAAUUCUAGAACGGAAAGGUUCAUCUUAAAUUAUUACAGAAAAGCACCUUCCCCAUUCGAGGUCCAUGCGACUUGCUUCCUAUAGUAACUGUUUGCUUCCUAUGGCCGAGACUAACUACAGCAACUAUUCUGCUAAGUUUUCUGUAAGUUUUGGAUUUUGUUGCCACAUAACCUUAAUGAACCCUGCACUAAUAAUAUGUUUUAACACAACCUUCUUGUUUUUCUUUGACUUCUGUAAUUCUGUAAUUAAGUGCCAUUGACAUGUUCUUAUUGCUUGUUUAUUUGGACCACAGACGCUGCAAGUGAUAGAUAACUAAAUAUCAUGUAGAUGUAACAUAUCUGAUGCAUAAUAAAAGCUGAUUCUUAUUCUGAUA